AAGGGAGGCGGUUCGACCUCUCACUGUAGGCCCCUAGGGCCACCUUCCCAGAUUCUCACAGGCCGAAUGUUACCAUGCAGUUGCUUUGCUUAAAUAACAGUUGAAAUAAAGUCAUACACUUACUGAAUUGCUCCGGGUUGCAGCAGACCAGACAACCCCAACCUCUGAAGCCGAACUUGAUAUCUGAAAGCCAAUGAAUAUGUCUGGCCUUGGGGAAGCCAAGAUCAUCAAUUGCAAAUAGAAAAUAAAGUAUUAUUUGUUCUUCUUCCAUGGUUUUAAUAAAUUGCAUCUCCACAAUGAGUUUCUUGUGGUUUGUAUGUGUUGGGGUGCUGUUAGGAUACAGAUUUUUUUUAU
This 354-nucleotide small RNA is filed under the name Rattus norvegicus (Norway rat). Its description in RNAcentral is "uncharacterized LOC102554703". The record is from RNAcentral. Lineage: Eukaryota; Metazoa; Chordata; Mammalia; Rodentia; Muridae.